This 2797-nucleotide long non-coding RNA is filed under the name Daucus carota (carrot). RNAcentral's name for it is "long non-coding RNA (DCAR_LNC007688)". Lineage: Eukaryota; Viridiplantae; Streptophyta; Magnoliopsida; Apiales; Apiaceae. The record is from RNAcentral.
CCUAUCUGUACAUAUGCACACUUUGUUUUACAACAUACUCUCCCCCUUCUUCUGCAAUAUCAGCCGAUCUCCAUUGCUUCCACCAAUUUUCCUUGCUGUUUUCAGUGUUUAGUAGCUGUAAUAUUCUACCUGAUUACUCCCUUUCCUUAAUUGUAUGUAAACCCUUUGAUAUAUGCAUGUAUGUGUUGGCUGUGAUUAGGGUUUCGGCCCAAGAGGUGUCUUUGUUGUGCGAUUGUAUGAGAAAGGAGGCUGCGAGCCUCACCUGGGUCCAGAGCUCGUGAAAACGAAUCUUCCCAAGUGAAGGCUGGCCAUGGCGAUGAACUGCAGUGAGCCAUGGCCGGGGUUUUGUGAUAUUUUGAUUGUUGGGUUGAUUUUAAGGCUUGAUUUAUGAUUGAUUGUUGUUGCGUGUCAGUUUUUAGUAUAGAGUUAGUGAUUACAAGUAUUAAUUAGUUUUGGGUAAAACUGAAUCAUGAGUUUCUUUGUUGUUUUCGGUCGAAUCUCUACUUGAGCUACUUUGAUUUAUGAUCCUUGCUAGCUGCAUGAGGUUCUUGGUGACCGAUUAUAUGUGUUCAAGGGCUCGUGUGUAGAGAAUUGAUAUAUUGGAAGUUGCAUAUUAGUUCUUAGGCCUUAAUAGUCAAUUUUUGGUGAUGCUUAAGAGUCAAUUUGUGAUACCAUGCUGCUAGGACAAACCUGCCCUGUUUUGAUAUGCUUAAGAAUGGUGUGAAAUUGUUGUUGGUUAGUGUGUAAAUUACUGAUUUUGUAAGUGCCUUGAAGUGUAGUUAAGUGGGAAAAAUAAAUUUGAGAUUUCGUUUAGUAAAACUAAAGUAAUAUGAUUUUAUUGUAUGAACUAGUUUAAAAUUCUGGAAGCUGAUUUUUUUUUUCUGUUUUGGAUACUAAUUAAGCAUGUUGAGAGUAGUUGUAAAAUAUCAAAACCUCUGUAACUAGAUGCUAUGUAGAGACUUCUGUGAUUACCAAGAAAAAUUACUUGAUUUGGAUAUGUAUAAUUAAAGUUAUGAAUUUUGUAAGCUAAUAGUGUCAACCUCCCUUCUAUAGUUGCAAUUCUGUUGUGUACUUCAUUUUCAAAAAUGCAUAAUUUAAUAACCACAUGUCCAAAUCUGCUUUUGUUGUUUUUAUAAUGUGGUUAUGUCAUUAAUCUUUGGUUUGUAUUCUUUGAAUAUCAUGAUUUGAGGUCGUUUUGUAUUUUAUAAAAAUUGGAUUAGCUAGAUAUGUCAAAACUGUCCAAGUCUGCCCUGUUUUGCUAAAUGAGAUAUUGUGCAAGUUCGAGAAAUGAUAAAAUGAUGAAUCUUUUUGGAUUGACUAGAUAAUUCCAAUUAUGAUAUUUUCUGUUCAUAUUUCUUAGAGAAAAGACUUGAUAUAUCAUGCUAUAAACUGAAGUAAUUGAGAUACUUGCUGCUGAAUGGUGUUAAAUAGUUGACUUAAACUUUAAAUUCCCGUUUCGUUACUUGAUCAAUUUUUUCAUACCUUAUAUGGUUAGAAAGCUCUUUGAAUAUCGUACCUUUCUUGAUUGAUUUUCAUUUGAUAUUGAGAUAGCCUAAUGUUAGUAAAUUGCUAAUCUUUCAGUGGCUGUCCGGCAGUUUAUGUGACUGAGAAAUAACUGUAAAUUAGACAAUAAUUUUAUGUGUUAGAUGUAUGAUAUCUGUAUAUAUGCAUAUGUGAGAUUCUUGUUUAUAUGUUAUGUGUAAAUAAUAUAUUAUGUGGUUGUUGUAUAUUAUAUAUACAUUAUUUAUUUAAUUAUUAUUUCCUUGUUUCAUUUAAUUCUUAUUUGAUUAUAUAAUAUUAUAUACUAUUAUCUUAAUAUUUGUAUAGAAUGUAAAGUAUGAUUGUUUUUUUUUAAUCGCGAAUGGGUAGAGAUGAAAUCGAAUAGUGACACAUUUUUUAUAACUCUUUAUAGGUCCGAGUAGGCGAGCAGGAAAAGAGCCAAUCGCCGACCAACCCUAAACUUGAAGCUGUGUUACACGUUUCUCAAGGCAAGUAUAUUAUCCAACCAACUUGGUUAAAGAUUUUGAUGCCAUGAUUUGAUACUUGAUUUUUAGAAUAUUAAAAUUUUGUUUAUCAUUGAAAUCAAAGUUUAAAACUCUACUAGUUGCCAAGUAUUCUAGAUUGUUAUAAACGAAGAAAUUGUAUAACCUUUGAUGCUUUAACCUAUCAUAUUUCUCCCCUAUAAACUUGAUUCUCUAGAACCCUGUUAUAAGCUUACAAUAACACUAAGAACUGAUACCUUGAAUUCUUCAAUGUUAACAAACGAGAAGUAUUCUUCACCUAAUAGACCACUUCACUUGGUUGUUAUAUGAACCUAAACACUUAACCCUCAAUAGCUAUUUUCCCAGCCGGUCACCUUUUCAUUUACAAAAAUCUGUAGCGGGGAUCCUCAUGUUUAUAUAAGGCCAAAGUGUGCCUAGGAUCCUUUAUAUUUGAGAACUCGUAUUGGAUAAGAGGGUUCGGAGCUUUGUCGUGGGCUGAUCACCCAGCUUAGUUCGUAGCGUUUUAUCUGUUUCCAGUUCCAUAAAAAUGAAACUGUUUUGCUUAAAUCAUAUUAUGUUGAUUAAUCUUUAAAGCAUGUUACAUUCUUGAUAUCAUUGCCAUGCUUUACAUACUAUUUAUGAUUUACUGUUGGGUUGGAUAUUAUAUACUUGCUAGGCACUUUAGCUCAAUAUUUUAACUCUAUUUUAAAGUUAAACCCGAAAGUGGUGCAUUUGCUACAGACCGUCCGUAAAAACUUUGGAGGGUCGGGAACUGACUUCAGGCGUCGUUUCACUCAGGUAGAUCUGAGAGUUCA